GUGAGGAAUAUUGCGCAAUGGAGGCAACUCUGACGCAGCCAUGCCGCGUGCAGGAAGAAGGCGCUACGCGUUGUAAACUGCUUUUAACCGGGAAGAAACCCCAGGACGUGUCCUGGGUUGACGGUACCGGAGGAAUAAGCACCGGCUAACUUCGUGCCAGCAGCCGCGGUAAUACGAAGGGUGCAAGCGUUAUCCGGAUUCAUUGGGUUUAAAGGGUGCGUAGGCGGAGCGUUAAGUCAGUGGUGAAAUCCUGCAGCUUAACUGUAGACUUGCCAUUGAUACUGGCGCUCUUGAGUGCGCUUGAAGUGGGCGGAAUGUGCCGUGUAGCGGUGAAAUGCUGAGAUAUGGCACAGAACACCAAUUGCGAAGGCAGCUCACUAAGGCGAUACUGACGCUGAGGCACGAAAGCGUGGGGAUCGAACAGGAUUAGAAACCCGAGUAGUCC
This 445-nucleotide ribosomal RNA is filed under the name uncultured bacterium. RNAcentral's name for it is "partial 16S ribosomal RNA". It matches the Rfam family "Bacterial small subunit ribosomal RNA", at positions 354 to 796 of the family's 1533-position model. The record is from RNAcentral.